This 481-nucleotide ribosomal RNA is filed under the name uncultured bacterium. Its description in RNAcentral is "partial 16S ribosomal RNA". It matches the Rfam family "Bacterial small subunit ribosomal RNA", at positions 28 to 507 of the family's 1533-position model. The record is from RNAcentral.
GAUGAACGCUGGCGGCGUGCUUAACACAUGCAAGUCGAACGAAGCAUUUGCGACAGAUUUUUUCGGAAUGAAGUUGCUUAUGACUGAGUGGCGGACGGGUGAGUAACGCGUGGGUAACCUGCCUUGUACUGGGGGAUAGCAGCUGGAAACGGCUGGUAAUACCGCAUAAGCGCACAAUGUUGCAUGACAUGGUGUGAAAAACUCCGGUGGUAUAAGAUGGACCCGCGUCUGAUUAGCUAGUUGGCGAGAUAACAGCCCACCAAGGCGACGAUCAGUAGCCGACCUGAGAGGGUGACCGGCCACAUUGGGACUGAGACACGGCCCAGACUCCUACGGGAGGCAGCAGUGGGGAAUAUUGCACAAUGGAGGAAACUCUGAUGCAGCGACGCCGCGUGAGUGAAGAAGUAAUUCGUUAUGUAAAGCUCUAUCAGCAGGGAAGAUAGUGACGGUACCUGACGAAGAAGCUCCGGCUAAAUACGUG